This 300-nucleotide ribosomal RNA is filed under the name uncultured Mycobacterium sp. RNAcentral describes it as "bacterial SSU rRNA". It matches the Rfam family "Bacterial small subunit ribosomal RNA", at positions 8 to 311 of the family's 1533-position model. The record is from RNAcentral. Lineage: Bacteria; Bacillati; Actinomycetota; Actinomycetes; Mycobacteriales; Mycobacteriaceae.
AGAGUUUGAUCCUGGCUCAGGACGAACGCUGGCGGCGUGCUUAACACAUGCAAGUCGAACGGUAAGGCCCUUCGGGGUACACGAGUGGCGAACGGGUGAGUAACACGUGGGUAAUCUGCCCUGCACAUCGGGAUAAGCCCUGGGAAACNUGGGUCUAAUACCGAAUAGGACCACAGAACACAUGUCCUGUGGUGGAAAGCUUUUGCGGUGUGGGAUGGGCCCGCGGCCUAUCAGCUUGUUGGUGGGGUGAUGGCCCACCAAGGCGACACGGGUAGCCGGCCUGAGAGGGUGUCCGGCCAC